Molecule: ribosomal RNA, 382 nt
Filed under: uncultured Glomeromycotina
Lineage: Eukaryota; Fungi; Glomeromycota
Description: SSU rRNA
Rfam family: Eukaryotic small subunit ribosomal RNA
Source: RNAcentral
AGCAGCCGCGGUAAUUCCAGCUCCAAUAGCGUAUAUUAAAGUUGUUGCAGUUAAAAAGCUCGUAGUUGAAUUUCGGGGUUAGUAGGUUGGUCAUGCCUCUGGUAUGUACUGGUCUCACUGAUUCCUCCUUCCUGAUGAGCCGUAAUGCCAUUAAUUUGGUGUUGCGGGGAAUUUGGACUGUUACUUUGAAAAAUUAGAGUGUUUAAAGCAAGCUAACGCUUGAAUACAUUAGCAUGGAAUAAUGAAAUAGGACGUUCGAUCCUAUUUUGUUGGUUUCUAGGAUUGACGUAAUGAUUAAUAGGGAUAGUUGGGGCAUUAGUAUUCAAUUGUCAGAGGUGAAAUUCUUGGAUUUAUUGAAGACUAACUACUGCGAAAGCAUUUG